RNAcentral lists this ribosomal RNA (492 nucleotides) under uncultured bacterium. RNAcentral's name for it is "partial 16S ribosomal RNA". It matches the Rfam family "Bacterial small subunit ribosomal RNA", at positions 29 to 507 of the family's 1533-position model. The record is from RNAcentral.
AGUGAACGCUGGCGGUAGGCCUAACACAUGCAAGUCGAACGGCAGCACAGUAAGAGCUUGCUCUUACGGGUGGCGAGUGGCGGACGGGUGAGGAAUACAUCGGAAUCUACUUUUUCGGGGGGGAUAACGUAGGGAAACUUACGCUAAUACCGCAUACGACCUACGGGUGAAAGCAGGGGAUCUUCGGACCUUGCGCGAUUGAAUGAGCCGAUGUCGGAUUAGCUAGUUGGCGGGGUAAAGGCCCACCAAGGCGACGAUCCGUAGCUGGUCUGAGAGGAUGAUCAGCCACACUGGAACUGAGACACGGUCCAGACUCCUACGGGAGGCAGCAGUGGGGAAUAUUGGACCAUGGGCGCAAGCCUGAUCCAGCCAUACCGCGUGAGUGAAGAAGGCCUUCGGGUUGUAAAGCCCUUUUGUUGGGAAAGAAAAGCAGCAGGUUAAUACCCCGCUGUUCUGACGGUACCCAAAGAAUAAGCACCGGCUAACUUCGUG